CAUCUAUCCAUUUCAAAACCCAAUAUUGUUUUUCCAUUUUAUCCCCAAUAAAAUUUUCCAUCUCACCCGUAAUCUUUAUCUUUCCGUUCCAUCUCAAUAUCACGCUUCCUCCUCAAUCCUUAUAUAGGGCCUGCCUCUUUGCCUGGUGGGAAGGACCACAUUGCAGAAAGAUUCUACGACUGCAUAUUUGGGGAGGAAGAGUGUCUCUGUCGUCUUGAAGCGCAAAAUAUGCAUUUCACAUUGGCCAGCACAGAAGAGAUCUUUUGAAAUUUCUUAU
Non-coding RNA from Pelobates cultripes (western spadefoot toad), 277 nucleotides. The record is from the annotation of a GenBank genome assembly. NCBI's taxonomy places the organism in Eukaryota, Metazoa, Chordata, Amphibia, Anura, Pelobatidae.